RNAcentral lists this ribosomal RNA (492 nucleotides) under uncultured bacterium. RNAcentral describes it as "partial 16S ribosomal RNA". It matches the Rfam family "Bacterial small subunit ribosomal RNA", at positions 29 to 507 of the family's 1533-position model. The record is from RNAcentral.
AGUGAACGCUGGCGGUAGGCCUAACACAUGCAAGUCGAACGGCAGCACAGUAAGAGCUUGCUCUUACGGGUGGCGAGUGGCGGACGGGUGAGGAAUACAUCGGAAUACACUCUUUCGUGGGGGAUAACGUAGGGAAACUUAUUCUAAUACCGCAUACGACCUACGGGUGAAAGCAGGGGAUCUUCGGACCUUGCGGGAUUGAAUGAGCCGAUGUCGGAUUAGCUAGUUGGCGGGGCAGAGGCCAACAAAGGCGACGAUCCGUAGCUGGUCUGAGAGGAUGAUUAGCCACACGGGAACUGAGGCACGGUCCAGACUCCUACAGGAGGCAGCGGUGGGGAAUAUUGGGCAAUGGGCGCGAGGCUGAUCCAGCCAUACCGGGUAGGUCAAGAAGGCCUUCGGGUUGUAAAGCCCUGUUGUUGUGAGAGAAGAACAGCAGGUUAAUACCCCGCUGUUAUGACAGUACCCAAAGAAUAAGCUCCGGCUAACUUCGUG